This 403-nucleotide ribosomal RNA is filed under the name Fusobacteriota bacterium. RNAcentral's name for it is "Fusobacteria bacterium partial 16S ribosomal RNA". It matches the Rfam family "Bacterial small subunit ribosomal RNA", at positions 355 to 776 of the family's 1533-position model. Lineage: Bacteria; Fusobacteriati; Fusobacteriota. The record is from RNAcentral.
UGGGGAAUAUUGCACAAUGGAGGGAACUCUGAUGCAGCGACGCCGCGUGAGUGAUGAAGGAAUUCGUUUCGUAAAACUCUGUUCUAUGGGAAGAAAAGGACUGUACCAUAGGAGAAAGCUCCGGCUAAAUACGUGCCAGCAGCCGCGGUAAUACGUAUGGAGCGAGCGUUGUCCGGAAUUAUUGGGCGUAAAGGGUGCGCAGGCGGCUUUACAAGUUGGAUGUGAAAUAUUGUGGCUCACCACAAACGUGCAUCCAAAACUGCAAAGCUUGAGUUAAGGAGAGGUAAGUGGAAUUCCUGGUGUAGCGGUGGAAUGCGUAGAUAUCAGGAGGAAUACCGGUGGCGAAGGCGACUUACUGGACUUAAACUGACGCUCAGGCACGAAAGCGUGGGGAGCAAACAGG